Non-coding RNA from Chelonoidis abingdonii (Abingdon island giant tortoise), 136 nucleotides. Lineage: Eukaryota; Metazoa; Chordata; Testudines; Testudinidae. The record is from RefSeq and is a predicted model, not a curated record.
GACACUAGGAAGGAUGGCAGGUCUACACUACAGCCAGGAUCGACGCUCUGAGAUCAAUCCACCAGCAGUCAAUUUAGCAGCUCUAGUAAAGACCCACAAAUCAUCUGCAGCUCGCUCUCCACUUGACCCUUGUAUU